CCUACGGGUGGCUGCAGUGGGGGAUAUUGGACAAUGGGGGGAACCCUGAUCCAGCGACGCCGCGUGAGUGAAGAAGUAUCUCGGUAUGUAAAGCUCUAUCAGCAGGGAAGAAGAAAUGACGGUACCUGACUAAGAAGCCCCGGCUAACUACGUGCCAGCAGCCGCGGUAAUACGUAGGGGGCGAGCGUUAUCCGGAUUCACUGGGUGUAAAGGGAGCGUAGACGGCCAUGCAAGCCAGGGGUGAAAGCCCGGGGCCCAACCCCGGGACUGCCCUUGGAACUGCAUGGCUGGAGUGCGGGAGGGGCAGGCGGAAUUCCUGGUGUAGUGGUGAAAUGCGUAGAUAUCAGGAGGAACACCGGCGGCGAAGGCGGCCUGCUGGACCGCGACUGACGUUGAGGCUCGAAAGCGUGGGGAGCGAACAGGAUUAGAUACCCGAGUAGUC
This 442-nucleotide ribosomal RNA is filed under the name uncultured bacterium. RNAcentral describes it as "partial 16S ribosomal RNA". It matches the Rfam family "Bacterial small subunit ribosomal RNA", at positions 338 to 795 of the family's 1533-position model. The record is from RNAcentral.